AACGAACGCUGGCGGCAGGCUUAACACAUGCAAGUCGAACGCGUGUAGCAAUACACGAGUGGCGCACGGGUGAGUAACGCGUGGAUAUCUGCCUUUUGGUUCGGAAUAACUCCGGGAAACUGGAGCUAAUACCGGAUGGUUCCUACGGGAUAAAGAUUUAUCGCCAAAAGAUGAGUCCGCGUACGAUUAGCUAGUUGGUGAGGUAAUGGCUCACCAAGGCGACGAUCGUUAGCUGGUCUGAGAGGACGAUCAGCCACACUGGGACUGAGACACGGCCCAGACUCCUACGGGAGGCAGCAGUGGGGAAUAUUGGACAAUGGGGGCAACCCUGAUCCAGCCAUGCCGCGUGAGUGAUGAAGGCCUUCGGGUUGUAAGCUCUUUUGGCGGGGACGAUGAUGACGGUACCCGCAGAAUAAGCCCCGGCUAACUUCGUGCCAGCAGCCGCGGUAAU
RNAcentral lists this ribosomal RNA (451 nucleotides) under uncultured bacterium. RNAcentral describes it as "bacterial SSU rRNA". It matches the Rfam family "Bacterial small subunit ribosomal RNA", at positions 29 to 524 of the family's 1533-position model. The record is from RNAcentral.